UCCUACGGGAGGCAGCAGUGGGGAAUAUUGCACAAUGGGCGCAAGCCUGAUGCAGCCAUGCCGCGUGUGUGAAGAAGGCCUUCGGGUUGUAAAGCACUUUCAGUCAGGAGGAAAGGUUAGUAGUUAAUACCUGCUAGCUGUGACGUUACUGACAGAAGAAGCACCGGCUAACUCCGUGCCAGCAGCCGCGGUAAUACGGAGGGUGCGAGCGUUAAUCGGAAUUACUGGGCGUAAAGCGUACGCAGGCGGUUUGUUAAGCGAGAUGUGAAAGCCCCGGGCUCAACCUGGGAACUGCAUUUCGAACUGGCAAACUAGAGUGUGAUAGAGGGUGGUAGAAUUUCAGGUGUAGCGGUGAAAUGCGUAGAGAUCUGAAGGAAUACCGAUGGCGAAGGCAGCCACCUGGGUCAACACUGACGCUCAUGUACGAAAGCGUGGGGAGCAAACAGGAUUAGAUACCCUGGUAGUCCACGCCGUAAACGAUGUGUACUAGAAGCUCGGAACCUCGGU
RNAcentral lists this ribosomal RNA (507 nucleotides) under uncultured bacterium. RNAcentral describes it as "bacterial SSU rRNA". It matches the Rfam family "Bacterial small subunit ribosomal RNA", at positions 337 to 837 of the family's 1533-position model. The record is from RNAcentral.